Molecule: ribosomal RNA, 1454 nt
Filed under: uncultured organism
Description: SSU rRNA
Rfam family: Bacterial small subunit ribosomal RNA
Source: RNAcentral
GAUGAACCCUAUCGACAGGCUUAACACAUGCAAGUCGAGGGGCAGCACAGGUAGCAAUACCGGGUGGCGACCGGCGCACGGGUGAGUAACGCGUAUGCAACUUGCCUAUCAGAGGGGGAUAACCCGGCGAAAGUCGGACUAAUACCGCAUGAAGCAGGGGCCCCGCAUGGGGAUAUUUGCUAAAGAUUCAUCGCUGAUAGAUAGGCAUGCGUUCCAUUAGGCAGUUGGCGGGGUAACGGCCCACCAAACCGACGAUGGAUAGGGGUUCUGAGAGGAAGGUCCCCCACAUUGGUACUGAGACACGGACCAAACUCCUACGGGAGGCAGCAGUGAGGAAUAUUGGUCAAUGGCCGAGAGGCUGAACCAGCCAAGUCGCGUGAGGGAUGAAGGUUCUAUGGAUCGUAAACCUCUUUUAUAAGGGAAUAAAGUGCGGGACGUGUCCCGUUUUGUAUGUACCUUAUGAAUAAGGAUCGGCUAACUCCGUGCCAGCAGCCGCGGUAAUACGGAGGAUCCGAGCGUUAUCCGGAUUUAUUGGGUUUAAAGGGUGCGUAGGCGGCCUUUUAAGUCAGCGGUGAAAGUCUGUGGCUCAACCAUAGAAUUGCCGUUGAAACUGGGGGGCUUGAGUAUGUUUGAGGCAGGCGGAAUGCGUGGUGUAGCGGUGAAAUGCAUAGAUAUCACGCAGAACCCCGAUUGCGAAGGCAGCCUGCCAAGCCAUUACUGACGCUGAUGCACGAAAGCGUGGGGAUCAAACAGGAUUAGAUACCCUGGUAGUCCACGCAGUAAACGAUGAUCACUAGCUGUUUGCGAUACACUGUAAGCGGCACAGCGAAAGCGUUAAGUGAUCCACCUGGGGAGUACGCCGGCAACGGUGAAACUCAAAGGAAUUGACGGGGGCCCGCACAAGCGGAGGAACAUGUGGUUUAAUUCGAUGAUACGCGAGGAACCUUACCCGGGUUUGAACGCAUUCGGACCGAGGUGGAAACACCUUUUCUAGCAAUAGCCGUUUGCGAGGUGCUGCAUGGUUGUCGUCAGCUCGUGCCGUGAGGUGUCGGCUUAAGUGCCAUAACGAGCGCAACCCUUGCCACUAGUUACUAACAGGUUAGGCUGAGGACUCUGGUGGGACUGCCAGCGUAAGCUGCGAGGAAGGCGGGGAUGACGUCAAAUCAGCACGGCCCUUACAUCCGGGGCGACACACGUGUUACAAUGGCGUGGACAAAGGGAUGCCACCUGGCGACAGGGAGCGAAUCCCCAAACCACGUCUCAGUUCGGAUCGGAGUCUGCAACCCGACUCCGUGAAGCUGGAUUCGCUAGUAAUCGCGCAUCAGCCAUGGCGCGGUGAAUACGUUCCCGGGCCUUGUACACACCGCCCGUCAAGCCAUGGGAGCCGGGGGUACCUGAAGUCCGUAACCGAAAGGAUCGGCCUAGGGUAAAACUGGUGACUGGGGCUAAGUCGU